This 254-nucleotide ribosomal RNA is filed under the name uncultured bacterium. RNAcentral describes it as "partial 16S ribosomal RNA". It matches the Rfam family "Bacterial small subunit ribosomal RNA", at positions 524 to 776 of the family's 1533-position model. The record is from RNAcentral.
UACGAAGGGGGCUAGCGUUGCUCGGAAUCACUGGGCGUAAAGCGCACGUAGGCGGAUUCUUAAGUCAGGGGUGAAAUCCUGGAGCUCAACUCCAGAACUGCCUUUGAUACUGGGAGUCUUCGAGUCCGGGAGAGGUGAGUGGAACUGCGAGUGUAGAGGUGAAAUUCGUAGAUAUUCGCAAGAACACCAGUGGCGAAGGCGGCUCACUGGCCCGGUACUGACGCUGAGGUGCGAAAGCGUGGGGAGCAAACAGG